CGCGGGGUGGAGCAGUCUGGUAGCUCGUUGGGCUCAUAACCCAAAGGUCGUAGGUUCAAAUCCUACCCCCGCUA
RNAcentral lists this transfer RNA (74 nucleotides) under bacterium. RNAcentral's name for it is "tRNA-Met". It matches the Rfam family "tRNA". Rfam says of the family: Transfer RNA (tRNA) molecules are approximately 80 nucleotides in length. Their secondary structure includes four short double-helical elements and three loops (D, anti-codon, and T loops). Further hydrogen bonds mediate the characteristic L-shaped molecular structure. tRNAs have two regions of fundamental functional importance: the anti-codon, which is responsible for specific mRNA codon recognition, and the 3' end, to which the tRNAs corresponding amino acid is attached (by aminoacyl-tRNA synthetases). tRNAs cope with the degeneracy of the genetic code in two manners: having more than one tRNA (with a specific anti-codon) for a particular amino acid; and 'wobble' base-pairing, i.e. permitting non-standard base-pairing at the 3rd anti-codon position. RNAcentral also lists the same sequence under 7 other names. The record is from RNAcentral.